AGAACGAACGCUGGCGGCAGGCUUAACACAUGCAAGUCGAGCGCCCCGCAAGGGGAGCGGCAGACGGGUGAGUAACGCGUGGGAAUCUACCCUUCACUACGGAACAACUCCGGGAAACUGGAGCUAAUACCGUAUACGUCCUUCGGGAGAAAGAUUUAUCGGUGAUGGAUGAGCCCGCGUUGGAUUAGCUAGUUGGUGGGGUAACGGCCUACCAAGGCGACGAUCCGUAGCUGAUCUGAGAGGAUGAUCAGCCACACUGGGACUGAGACACGGCCCAGACUCCUACGGGAGGCAGCAGUGGGGAAUCUUGGACAAUGGGCGCAAGCCUGAUCCAGCCAUGCCGCGUGAGUGAAGAAGGCCUUAGGGUGUAAAGCUACUUUACCAGGGACGAUAAUGACGGUACCUGGAAGAAUAACGCCCCGGACAAACUCGUGCCAGCAGCCG
This 444-nucleotide ribosomal RNA is filed under the name uncultured soil bacterium. RNAcentral describes it as "bacterial SSU rRNA". It matches the Rfam family "Bacterial small subunit ribosomal RNA", at positions 26 to 517 of the family's 1533-position model. The record is from RNAcentral.